GACGAACGCUGGCGGCGUGCUUAACACAUGCAAGUCGAACGGAAAGGCCCAGCUUGCUGGGUACUCGAGUGGCGAACGGGUGAGUAACACGUGGGUGAUCUGCCCUGGACUCUGGGAUAAGCCUGGGAAACUGGGUCUAAUACCGGAUAUGACCUUACAUCGCAUGGUGUUUGGUGGAAAGCUUUUGCGGUUCAGGAUGGGCCCGCGGCCUAUCAGCUUGUUGGUGGGGUAAUGGCCUACCAAGGCGACGACGGGUAGCCGACCUGAGAGGGUGAUCGGCCACACUGGGACUGAGACACGACCCAGACUCCUACGGGAGGCAGCAGUGGGGAAUAUUGCACAAUGGGCGCAAGCCUGAUGCAGCGACGCCGCGUGAGGGAUGACGGCCUUCGGGUUGUAAACCUCUUUCACCAGGGACGAAGCGUGAGUGACGGUACCUGGAGAAGAAGCACCGGCCAACUACGUG
Molecule: ribosomal RNA, 466 nt
Filed under: uncultured bacterium
Lineage: Bacteria
Description: partial 16S ribosomal RNA
Rfam family: Bacterial small subunit ribosomal RNA
Source: RNAcentral